AACGGCAGCGAGGAGAAGCUUGCUUCUCUGUCGGCGAGUGGCGAACGGGUGAGUAUAGCAUCGGAACGUGCCAAGUAGUGGGGGAUAACCAAACGAAAGUUUGGCUAAUACCGCGUAAGCUCCAAGGAGGAAAGUAGGGGACCUAAAUAAGGCCUUACGCUAUUUGAUCGGCCGAUGUCGGAUUAGCUAGUUGGUGGGGUAAUGGCUCACCAAGGCAAUGAUCCGUAGCGGGUCUGAGAGGACGAUCCGCCACACUGGGACUGAGACACGGCCCAGACUCCUACGGGAGGCAGCAGUGGGGAAUUUUGGACAAUGGGGGAAACCCUGAUCCAGCCAUGCCGCGUGUAUGAAGAAGGCCUUAGGGUUGUAAAGUACUUUUGUUAGGGAAGAAAAGCUAGUUUUUAAUAAAAAUUAGUGAUGACGGUACCUAAAGAAUAAGCACCGGCUAACUACGUGCCAGCAGCCGCGGUAAUACGUAGGGUGCAAGCGUUAAUCGGAAUUAUUGGGCGUAAAGCGAGUGCAGACGGUUACUUAAGCCAGAUGUGAAAUCCCCAAGCUUAACUUGGGACGUGCAUUUGGAACUGGGUGACUAGAGUGUGUCAGAGGGAGGUAGAAUUCCACAUGUAGCGGUGGAAUGCGUAGAGAUGUGGAGGAAUACCGAUGGCGAAGGCAGCCUCCUGGGAUAACACUGACGUUGAGGCUCGAAAGCGUGGGGAGCAAA
RNAcentral lists this ribosomal RNA (721 nucleotides) under uncultured Neisseriales bacterium. Its description in RNAcentral is "bacterial SSU rRNA". It matches the Rfam family "Bacterial small subunit ribosomal RNA", at positions 65 to 772 of the family's 1533-position model. Lineage: Bacteria; Pseudomonadati; Pseudomonadota; Betaproteobacteria; Neisseriales. The record is from RNAcentral.